RNAcentral lists this ribosomal RNA (415 nucleotides) under uncultured bacterium. Its description in RNAcentral is "partial 16S ribosomal RNA". It matches the Rfam family "Bacterial small subunit ribosomal RNA", at positions 355 to 762 of the family's 1533-position model. The record is from RNAcentral.
UGGGGAAUUUUGGACAAUGGGCGAAAGCCUGAUCCAGCAAUGCCGCGUGUGUGAAGAAGGCCUUCGGGUUGUAAAGCACUUUUGUCCGGAAAGAAAUCCUUGGCUCUAAUACAGUCGGGGGAGUACGGUACCGGAAGAAUAAGCACCGGCUAACUACGUGCCAGCAGCCGCGGUAAUACGUAGGGUGCAAGCGUUAAUCGGAAUUACUGGGCGUAAAGCGUGCGCAGGCGGUUUGCUAAGACCGAUGUGAAAUCCCCGGGCGUCAACCUGGAACUGCAUUGGUGACUGGCAGGCUAGAGUAUGGCAGAGGGGGGUGAGAAUUCCACGUGUAGCAGUGAAAUGCGUAGAGAUGUGGAGGAAUACCGAUGGCGAAGGCAGCCCCCUGGCAAGUACUGACGCUCAUGCACGAAAGCGU